UAGAAGGGUCCAGCGGGGCAGAUAUUUUUCCUGCCACCGAAUACAUUAGCAUGGGAUAAUGGAAUAGGACCCUGACCUCCUAUUUUCAGUUGGUUUUGUUUACAGCGAGGUUAUAUCAGGGUAAUGAUUAAUAGGGAUAGUUGGGGGCAUUAAUAUUUAAUUGUCAGAGGUGAAAUUCUUGGAUUUAUGAAAGAUUAACUUCUGCGAAAGCGUUUGCCAAGGAUGUUUUCAUUAAUCAAGAACGAAAGUUAGGGGAUCGAAGACGAUCAGAUACCGUCGUAGUCUUAACCAUAAACGAUGCCGACCAGCGAUUAGGAGACGUUGAAUACAAAACACCGCUGUUAAUCCUUUCGGGGGUUAAUAGUUGGUGAAUGACUCCCUAGCAGCCUUUGUGAGAA
This 398-nucleotide ribosomal RNA is filed under the name Acanthamoeba sp. RNAcentral's name for it is "SSU rRNA". It matches the Rfam family "Eukaryotic small subunit ribosomal RNA", at positions 767 to 1098 of the family's 1831-position model. The record is from RNAcentral. Lineage: Eukaryota; Discosea; Longamoebia; Acanthamoebidae.